GGAUCAAAAGUUAGAUUCAUUGGUACACUUUUUUCAACUUUGGUAUUAUCCUAGUUUUCAUCUUUUUUUGAAUGAUGAGAUCCAAUAUUGGAUAAUCUGGAGGCUUUUUUGGUGGAAUUUCGAUCUAUGUAUGGAAAACAUGAUGUAAUUUGUAUUGCAACUAAUAAGAUUUAUAUCUUGCAAUAAGACAAUCAAUCAAUGACAUCAUAUGCUUCAUAAUUUUGACAACUAGUGAUUGAUAUCAAGUAAGAUGAUGCUGCCUUUAUCA
Molecule: long non-coding RNA, 268 nt
Filed under: Physcomitrium patens
Lineage: Eukaryota; Viridiplantae; Streptophyta; Bryopsida; Funariales; Funariaceae
Description: long non-coding RNA (PPAT_LNC004632)
Source: RNAcentral